Long non-coding RNA from Pan troglodytes (chimpanzee), 3376 nucleotides. The record is from Ensembl. Lineage: Eukaryota; Metazoa; Chordata; Mammalia; Primates; Hominidae.
AUGGUGGAUACGCUUUGUGAUGGACUGCCCAACAGUUUUAAAUGUAAAUUGAAAGACCCCAGUACUGGUCCAAGCCCUGAAGACUGCACCCAGGAAAGUGGAGGUAUGGACAGAGGCAGCCGGUGCCUGAGGAAGCUCCACGGGGCAGGCAAGGCCCCCACGUCCAGUCUCAGCCCCUCUUUUGGCCACAUGUGGGUAUUCGUUCCUCCUUUUGGUCUUCCUGAAAACACUCUUUUGACCCUCCUGCGCUUGGUGAAGAUUCAUAGUAACCUAAGGUGGCCCCUUCUCUGCAAAUGUUGCCGGACCUUCCAGCCCAUUGGCUGCUGCCUCAGUCUCCCUCCACCGUCCCGGCCCCGCCCCCCCCCCCCCCCGACAUUGCCUCAAGUUGCCCCUGGGUGGCUCGGAAGCAGAUGUGCAGCCAGCAACCAGGGGGGCUGCGCCGAGGCGGGAGCCACCCCGCGAGGCGCGGGCAUGGGCAGGGCUGGCGGGUGGCUGGGAAGCCAUUUGCAUCGAGUGCCUGGUUCCCGGAGCGGGGGACUGGGAUUGUUCCUGCUGGAAUCCGGGGGGUUCACCCGCCUGGGCCGCCGGCUUGCAGGGAUCCCGCCGAAGCCUGUCGCCCCCAGAGCACCGGUUCUCAUCUCGGGAACCCCAGGUGCCCCCACGCUACCCGGAUGUGGGGCGGGGAUCUCAGGGGCGGGGUCCUCCAGGGACGACAGUUCCCACCCGGCCCAGGAACCCCCGACUUCCCGGCUUAGGAAAGCUGGGCUCGGCGGAGGCCCAGGGCUGCCCAGCUCUGCCUCCUCGGGGGCAGGCGUCAGAGACAGGAGAGAACCCCCGAACCCCGCGCCAGCCUGUCCCGGGCCCCGGCCCAUCGGCCCCACUGGCCCUCCCUGCACCCUUCCGGUCUCCUAUUGGCCAAUCUAGGGGUCUCGGACAAAGUGCAGCGACCACGGCCCCUCAGAUCCCGCCGCCUCCUCGAGGCGGAGGCCCCUGCUCCAGAGCCCGCCAAGCCCCGGCGAUUCGCGGUACCCGGGCCACAGGGCCCGCCAUGGGCGCUGCGAGGCCUGAGGUCGCUGUAUCCGGUGGCCUCUGCGGUUCCACCACCCCCACCGCGAGAUGGGCGGUCUCUGGGGAACACCGCCCGCCCGCCCGCAUGACCGCGCUGGCCUUGGAGAGGGAGCCAGGGGACCCAACCGGCUUGUGGCGCUGCUGGGUGCGCCCGGAGAAACCGACCCGGGACCGGGGAAAAGGGGUGGAGGCCCGGCAGUCGGGCCACCUCGGAGCUGCGGAGCUCAGGAAAGGCCAGCACUAAUUUACUCAAACAGCAAAAUUUAAAAGGAAAUUUGAGACAGUAAUAGCAGCGACAUCUCAGAGAACGACAGGAAAAAAAAAGUUUUGAAUCAGGCUUUCGUGCAGGGACUCCGAUUUUGCAAUAAGCGCUUAAUUAAAAAUAAAAUAUAUUGAUGCGGUAGGCAAGUCGCGUUCCUGGGAAGGUAAAAACACAGUGGACUCCCCCACACCCCAGAUGCUCCACCUGCCUGCUGUAAUUACAGGGCUUCAGAGAGGAGGGAAAAAACACGACAGAGAGAAAUCUGCUUGCAUAUUUUUCUUCUAUUGUGCUGAGCUCAUUUGAAUUAUAAUGUGUUGCAGGCCGGAGAAGGAAAUUUUGUGCCUUGAAUAAUGAAUUCCCCUGGAGCCCACGGUACCUGUACUUCUCUUUAGUGUCCACUGAGAAUAACGUGUUCGACAUUCAAGUGACAACACUGGAAAGCAUUUCAAAGCCCUGGAGCCCCAGAACGCUGUACACCCCGACGGCUCUUCUGCCUGCCCUCUCUUUGGCUUCCAAAUGCAGCAAGCUCUUUCUUUACUUAAAAUGUGUUCAUCUUUCACACGCAUCCUGGAUGUACCACAGAAAGACAGUACAGAUAGGUAGGCUCUUAUUUCUGAAGCUGAGCUGGUCCCGCCCAGCACAAAGCUUUAAAGCUGCUAAGUCUCCAGGAUAUUAUCCAGUUUUUAAAAAUGGAAAAACUGGGAACAGGGAGGCUCAAUAUCUUGUCCCAGGCCCAAACAAGCUUUUCUGGAGUCAGUAUCAUUCAACUGGCUCAGGCUGGAUUUUCAUAAGAAAAGAUAAUAAACAUUUACUAAUGUAAUAAAAUAGACACCUUUUAAGUCACAAGCAGUAUCCAAACCUUUGGGACAUUCUAUGGUGCUGAACAGCUAUUUCAUAGAGGCUUUAUGUUAAGGAGCAAGUGCAGAAAAAAAUCUGAAAAUCUCAGUAAGAUGAGAAAACGAAAGCUUUACAAAAUGGUAGAAGAAAGUAGUCUCUCAUGCCUAAACUUCCAAAUAAGUUUUUGUUUGUUUGUUUUUGGGUUUUUAGUUGAGCAUUCUUUCUGGUUUGAAAUAGAUUCAGAAGGCUUUUUAAAACAAGUCACUUUUGGCCAAAUAUAUUAAGGUAUAACCAAAUGAUACCAUAGAUCCAUUUAGAAAACAGAAAGUUCUUUACUGACAUGAAAGGAUUUCUAAGACAUAUUCAUAAGUAAAAAAGCAAAUAUACUACUAUUUGUAUGGGAUGAAAAAAUAAAAGAAACAUGUAUAUACAUACUUGUUUGUAUAUGCAUAGACUAUCUCUCUGGGUGGAUGUUGCCUUUUAAGGGGGGAAGGCUGAGGUGGGAGGACAGAGUUUCUCUCCUUUAUCUAAAUCAGGGGUGUCCAAUCUUUUGGCUUCCCUGGGAUAUAUUGGAAGAAGAAGAAUUGUCUUGGGCCACACAUAAAAUACACUAACGAUAGCUGAUGAGCUAAAAAAAUGCAAAAAAAUCUCACAGUGUUUUUAGAAAGUUUCUGAAUUUGUGUUGGGCCACAUAUGGCCUUGAGGGCCACAGGUUGGACAAGCUUAAUCUAAAUCCUUUGUUAUUUCAGUUUUAAACAAUGUAAAUGAAUUGUUUGCUUAAAAAAUAAAUUAAAUGUAAUAAGUAUUAAUAUCAUUCAAGUGAUAACACAGCCAAGGAAUGACAAGGGUUAACUGAUAAUCCUGAUUUUUACAGGUAAUUGUGGUCAUUACUUCUACAUCUUUUAUCAUGUCUUUUAACCACUUGCCAAAGGAGGCGCUGAUGUGGAGUUUUCUCCUCUGCCUGCCCUCUGCUCUGCUCUAACACAGGCCCAAAUAGGCAGGGAAAUGACCCCGCAAUGGGUAUAGGAAAAAAUAGAAAAAGGAAACAAAGACUAGGUUUAAUCAACAAGUUAACAAAGGACAGCUGACUGCACUCAUUUACUUUCUGAGCUAGGACAUUUUCUUCGUGUCCUGAGAACUAUUUCAGGACUUUUUUUAAGUCCCUACUUAUUAACAUUCUAAGAGCUCUGAACUGAAAUGCAGAGAACC